GACGAACGCUGGCGGCGUGCCUAAUACAUGCAAGUCGAACGCAUUUUCUUUCACCGUAGCUUGCUACACCGAAAGAAAAUGAGUGGCGAACGGGUGAGUAACACGUGGGUAACCUGCCCAUCAGCGGGGGAUAACACUUGGAAACAGGUGCUAAUACCGCAUAAUUCCAUUUACCGCAUGGUAGAUGGAUGAAAGGCGCUUUUGCGUCACUGAUGGAUGGACCCGCGGUGCAUUAGCUAGUUGGUGGGGUAACGGCCUACCAAGGCUGCGAUGCAUAGCCGACCUGAGAGGGUGAUCGGCCACACUGGGACUGAGACACGGCCCAGACUCCUACGGGAGGCAGCAGUAGGGAAUCUUCGGCAAUGGACGCAAGUCUGACCGAGCAACGCCGCGUGAGUGAAGAAGGUUUUCGGAUUGUAAAACUCUGUUGUUAGAGAAGAACAAGGAUGAGAGUGGAAAGUUCAUCCCUUGACGGUAUCUAACCAGAAAGCCACGGCUAACUACGUG
RNAcentral lists this ribosomal RNA (507 nucleotides) under uncultured bacterium. RNAcentral describes it as "partial 16S ribosomal RNA". It matches the Rfam family "Bacterial small subunit ribosomal RNA", at positions 28 to 507 of the family's 1533-position model. The record is from RNAcentral.